GCUAAACUUCUUCAGAAAUACACUAUUGACGGAAAUGUUAGGCAGCACAUAUUGAGGGUGGUAAAUACUUUCACCAAGCUUAAGGCUUUGGAGUGUUCUUUAAGUGAAGCCCUUCUUGUCAUAAUUAUUCUUGAGUCUCUUCCUGAAGAGUUUGAACAAUUUAAGGUCAACUAUAACUCUCUAAGGGAAAAAUGGCCACUCUCUAAGAUGACCGCAAGGAUCGUCCAGGAGGAAGAAAGGAUCAUGAGGCAGAAGAAAGACCAUGUCUUUCAUGUUGGCUCUAACAAGAGAAAGCAUGACGGACAAGGUUUCCCUAAGCCUCAGAAAAGGCAAGUCAAGAAAGAAGGCACUAAGCCAUUCAACCCUAAGGCAUUCAAGGGUAAAGAAGCCGGUGGUUCUUCUUCUGCUCCUAGCAGCUCCACUGCUGGAGAAAAUGCUUGUAACUUCUGCAAAGAAGAGGGACACUAUCAAAGGGACUGCCCAGGCUUUCUAAAAUGGAUGAACAAAAGAGGGAUUCGAUACGAUCCAAACCAU
RNAcentral lists this ribosomal RNA (534 nucleotides) under Triticum aestivum (bread wheat). RNAcentral describes it as "partial small subunit ribosomal RNA". Lineage: Eukaryota; Viridiplantae; Streptophyta; Magnoliopsida; Poales; Poaceae. The record is from RNAcentral.